Molecule: ribosomal RNA, 218 nt
Filed under: uncultured bacterium
Lineage: Bacteria
Description: partial 16S ribosomal RNA
Rfam family: Bacterial small subunit ribosomal RNA
Source: RNAcentral
CGUAUGCAAUCUACCUUCAACUGGUGAAUAGCCCGAAGAAAUUCGGAUUAACACACCAUAGUAUAUUAGAGUGGCAUCACUUUAAUAUUAAAACUCCGGUGGUUGAAGAUGAGCAUGCGUGACAUUAGCUAGUUGGUGAGGUAAUGGCUCACCAAGGCUACGAUGUCUAGGGGAUCUGAGGGGAUUAACCCCCACACUGGUACUGAGACACGGACCAG